Molecule: ribosomal RNA, 253 nt
Filed under: uncultured bacterium
Lineage: Bacteria
Description: partial 16S ribosomal RNA
Rfam family: Bacterial small subunit ribosomal RNA
Source: RNAcentral
UACGUAGGUGGCGAGCGUUGUCCGGAUUUACUGGGCGCAAAGAGCGCGCAGGCGGCUGGUCAAGUCCGAUGUGAAAGCUCCCGGCUUAACUGGGAAAUUGCAUCGGAAACUGAUCGGCUGGAAGGUGGGAGAGGGUAGCGGAAUUCCGGGUGUAGCGGUGAAAUGCGUAGAUAUCCGGAGGAACACCGGUGGCGAAGGCGGCUUCCUGGACCGACACUGACGCUGAGGCGCGAAAGCUAGGGGAGCAAACGGG